Molecule: ribosomal RNA, 489 nt
Filed under: uncultured beta proteobacterium
Lineage: Bacteria; Pseudomonadati; Pseudomonadota; Betaproteobacteria
Description: bacterial SSU rRNA
Rfam family: Bacterial small subunit ribosomal RNA
Source: RNAcentral
GCUUAACACAUGCAAGUCGAACGGCAGCACGGGAGCUUGCUCCUGGUGGCGAGUGGCGAACGGGUGAGUAAUGUAUCGGAACGUACCCAGUCGUGGGGGAUAACUCUCCGAAAGGAGAGCUAAUACCGCAUACGUCCUGAGGGAGAAAGCGGGGGACCUGCAAGGGCCUCGCGCGAUUGGAGCGGCCGAUAUCGGAUUAGCUAGUUGGUAGGGUAAAGGCCUACCAAGGCGACGAUCCGUAGCGGGUCUGAGAGGACGACCCGCCACACUGGAACUGAGACACGGUCCAGACUCCUACGGGAGGCAGCAGUGGGGAAUAUUGGACAAUGGGGGAAACCCUGAUCCAGCAAUGCCGCGUGUGUGAAGAAGGCCUUCGGGUUGUAAAGCACUUUUAGCAGGAAAGAAAGAUCGCGCGCUAAUAUCGCGUGGUUUUGACGUUACUUGCAGAAAAAGCACCGGCUAACUCCGUGCCAGCAGCCGCGGUAAUAC